RNAcentral lists this long non-coding RNA (3235 nucleotides) under Sus scrofa (pig). RNAcentral describes it as "lncRNA (ENSSSCG00000056649.1)". Lineage: Eukaryota; Metazoa; Chordata; Mammalia; Artiodactyla; Suidae. The record is from RNAcentral.
UUCACAUAAACGGUAUUCAUCAAAAGAUGGAGAAUGUUGAAAAGGAGACAAAGGCCUGCAGCCAUUGUGGUAUAACUGACACAACCUCUCCUUCAGGGACAUCCACUGGACAUGCCCAUCUGGAGUUUAAGAAUAUGGACGUUUUCUGCAUCUCUGUGUUUUGAAGAGGUGUGAGAGCCAAAAAAAAUUGAAUAAUCACUAGCUUUUAAUCUAGGGAAGUUUGGAAGUGACUUUUAAAGGAGCAGGGCUGCUCUAGAGAAUAGCGUGUUUACAUGUUUACAUAGUUAUUGUAAAGUCUUACUAUCAUAAAAAAGGCCUACCCUCAUAAACUAUAUUAGGAAAUAUUAUUUUUAGAAUAUUGUUACUGUGUAACAAUUUAAUUGAAAUUAUUUCUCAAAUAUUUGUUGGAAUGCACCACUGAAGAAAAAUGAGCCAUAAAUUUCCAUGGCAAUAAGAUUUUGGUUAUUGAAUCAAUAUAUAUUUUUUUUUAAGCCCACACCUGAAGCCUAUGGAAGUUCUUGGGCUAAGGGUCAAAUCAGAGCUGUAGCUGCUGGCCUAUACCACAGCCACAACUACUGCAGCAUAGGAUCUGAGCAGCUUGCAGAAACACUGGACCCUAACCUGCUGAGAGAGGCCAGGGAUUGAAUGUGCAUCUCCUAGAGACAAUGUCAGGUCCCUGAUCUGCUGAGCCACAAAGGGAACUCCUUGAAUCAAUACUUUAAUAAUGAACUAUUAAAGUUUUUAAUUUUUAUGAGUCAUUUUAUUUUUAUUGCAAUUUGUGUAUUUCAUUUCGAUUAUCAAAGACAUUGAUACAGUUUUAUAGCAUCCUUUUAUUAGUUUUAGUGUCUCAACUUCUAAAAUAAAAACUUCUUCUUUUUUUUUACCUGGAAAAGGUUGUUUGUGUCUUUACGAUCUUUUUCUUAAUGCCUCAGGACUGGUGUGCAUAAUUCUGGAUCUCUUUUAAUUGAGACAAAAAUAUAUUCUCAUACUUAUUUGCCCUACUCAUUUUCUGAUUUUGUUGCUAAAAAACAAAACUAUUCCCUAACAUUUUUGUACCAUUCAGUUCCAUAAUUAUUAUUUAUCUAUAACUAUACAAAGAUGCAAAGUGUCUAACAAGUGAUUAUUUUUAGCCUGCCCCUUCUAGAUACUAUAGCUUUGAGAGAUUGCUUCCUUUAAUGCUUAUGUUGAGGAAUACUAGGACUUCAUAGAGAUUAAGUAAUUUGCCAGUUGGUGAUUAGUAAAGUAACACAGCCAGGGUUCAGAGCCGGGUUUGUCUGAAAUUAACCCCACACAUGUCCACAACUAUAGUGGACUACUUUAAGAAAUGUGCAAAGUGAGUUCUUUUGUAGUGCAGUGGGUUAAGGAUCUGGUAUUGUCAAUGCAGUGUCUUGGGUCACUGCUGUGGCACAGGUUUGAUCCCUGGCCUGGGAAAUUCUGCAUGUCCCAGGUGCAGGCAAAAAAAAAAAAAAGAAAAAAAAAAAAAAAAAAAGAAAGACAUGUGCAAAGUGACUGCAAUCUCUAAGCCCAAGUCAAGCAAUCAAACAACCUGAUCAAAAAAAUGAAUAAAGUAGAACUAAAUCAAAAACAUAUAUUACGACUUUUGCAAAAAGAGGUACAUGCAAAAUAUAAAAGAGUUCACAUUCUUACAUUUUAUAACCCAUACACAAGUUGUUCUAAUAACGUGACGAAAGGACCUGUGCAAUUUAGUGAAUCCUACAUAUUUAAUGUAAUCAUACUCAGUUUUACUAAAAAUAUGGUUUUAUAUAUAGUCUGCUUUAGAGUUUGAUCAUCAUUACACUGUGGAUAAUUCAACAUACAGGGUUUCAAUUCAUGACUUUUAAAUGUAGAUAAUUUCAGUGUCAUUUUGUGAAAGUAUUUACGUUUGCCACAUUUUUAAUGAGAAAAAUUCUGGAGAAUUUUAUCUAAUGGUAGGCCUGGCUAUUAAUUCUUGCUGUCUAUUGUUACAUAGUCCUCAGAUUUGGUAGAUAAGAAUCAUAAAAGGAAGUAGGUAAGAUUAAAGGGAUGGAGAGUCACUGCGUUUAAUGAGUUCACAUAGUGUUCUGUCAUAACAAAUUACCCCAUGGUGCUUAUGAUUAACUAGGCUGCCACUUGCUCUAUGAGUUUAUAGCCAAGUAAGCAUAAUAGAAAACUGUUUACAAAAUUAGAAGGCUGCCUUAAUUUUAUAUUUAUUACCAUCUUGUCAUUGUUGAUAACACUUCAUCAUAUUCAUGCACUUGCCUGGAGAGAUCAAAAUUAAAAUUUACUUAAAGAGGAAUAUUGUAGCUCAGUGUAAGAUCAAUGAGGCAAUUCAGUGCAACAGACAAUAAAGUGUACAAAUUGGAAUGAAUUUUUUCCAGUUUGAAAAUAACAGCAUUGCAGUCACCUCAAAGAGUUUCUUUAUUCAGUGCUAUCAUGUAUUUCUAUUACAGGGAAAUGCAUACCAUUAAGUCUAUUAGGGGCGAUGUACAAAUAAUAAUAUUUGGGGCAUGCUAUACAUUUUCAUCCUGGGAUUGCAGCCUUGUCUGAUUUUAGAAAAGAGCCAUGGGUCAAUGUCUUUUUGCAGAGGUGCUGGGAAGACAGAAUAUGUACUAUCCAGCCACACAUAAUAAAAGUGCAAAUAAAUCAUGUAGAAACACAAUCAGUCAUAUUAUGGAAGUGUUAUCAAAUUCAGAGCUGAAGGGAGAUUGUAAAAUAGAUGUACACUCUGCUCUCAUGUCAGGUUGCUAACAAACAUGGUUCUUUAUUUUGCUAAUCAUCUCUGACCAGAAGGUAAAGCUUUAUUCUACCGCUGUCAAGUGGGGGCUAUCCAUCUCCCCAGAAUAAUCAACACAAUCUUCCCUGCUCAUUAACUGUGAUCCUAUAAUGCCUUCCAACCUGGAAGAAGUUCCUUCUGCCCCUCUUUGUGCUCCGUUAUCAAAGUCACUCCCAUAAAACUAUACAAAAUUGGUCUAACUGCCUCAUUUUCCUCUAAAUUUUUACUGAAUUCAUAACCCUUUAACCCCCUUAUGCUUCACACAGAUUAGUUUUUAUUCCUCCAAAUGUUCUCUGUUGAACUGUCCAGAGAGAAAAAAAUGUCAUUCAAACUGUAUCAAGAAAGUUGGUUGAACUAUGUUAUCCUUUGUAAUCCGGGGUAUUCUUAAAUUAUUGUUUUAUUUAUGGGCAUACAAAGGGUUAGAAAACAAAUAAAUGAGAGCUGCAGAUAAUAGCUAUAGGACUAUUCUAUAAUAACAACAAG